UACGGAGGGUGCGAGCGUUGUCCGGAAUCAUUGGGCGUCAAGGGCGCGUAGGUGGCGGGACAAGCGUGCGGUGAAAGCCUGGGGCUCAACCCCGGGUCGGCCGUGCGAACUGUUUUGCUUGAGCACUGUAGAGGCAGGCGGAAUUCCGGGUGUAGCGGUGGAAUGCGUAGAGAUCCGGAAGAACACCGGUGGCGAAGGCGGCCUGCUGGGCAGUAGCUGACACUGAGGCGCGACAGCGUGGGGAGCAAACAGG
This 253-nucleotide ribosomal RNA is filed under the name uncultured bacterium. RNAcentral describes it as "partial 16S ribosomal RNA". It matches the Rfam family "Bacterial small subunit ribosomal RNA", at positions 524 to 776 of the family's 1533-position model. The record is from RNAcentral.